RNAcentral lists this ribosomal RNA (274 nucleotides) under uncultured bacterium. Its description in RNAcentral is "partial 16S ribosomal RNA". It matches the Rfam family "Bacterial small subunit ribosomal RNA", at positions 523 to 796 of the family's 1533-position model. The record is from RNAcentral.
AUACGGAGGGUGCAAGCGUUAUGCGGAAUCACUGGGCGUAAAGGACGCGUAGGCGGGUUGGCAAGUCAGAUGUGAAAUCCUACAGCCUAACUGUAGAACUGCAUUUGAAACUGCUAACCUAGAGUAUGGGAGGGGGAGAUGGAAUUAGUGGUGUAGGGGUAAAAUCCGUAGAUAUCACUAGGAAUACCGAAAGCGAAGGCGAUCUCCUGGAACAUAACUGACGCUAAGGCGUGAAAGCGUGGGGAGCAAACAGGAUUAGAAACCCUAGUAGUCC